RNAcentral lists this transfer RNA (72 nucleotides) under Olea europaea subsp. europaea. It matches the Rfam family "tRNA". From Rfam's summary of the family: Transfer RNA (tRNA) molecules are approximately 80 nucleotides in length. Their secondary structure includes four short double-helical elements and three loops (D, anti-codon, and T loops). Further hydrogen bonds mediate the characteristic L-shaped molecular structure. tRNAs have two regions of fundamental functional importance: the anti-codon, which is responsible for specific mRNA codon recognition, and the 3' end, to which the tRNAs corresponding amino acid is attached (by aminoacyl-tRNA synthetases). tRNAs cope with the degeneracy of the genetic code in two manners: having more than one tRNA (with a specific anti-codon) for a particular amino acid; and 'wobble' base-pairing, i.e. permitting non-standard base-pairing at the 3rd anti-codon position. The record is from Rfam by way of RNAcentral. Lineage: Eukaryota; Viridiplantae; Streptophyta; Magnoliopsida; Lamiales; Oleaceae.
UCCUUAGUAGUUCAGUGGUAGAGCGGUCGACUGUUAAUCGGUUGGUUGUAGGUUUGAAUCCUACAUGGGGAG